UCUAUAAAUGGGCAGAUUGCAUAAUAUUUGCACCCAUUGGUUUACAUUGCGCCUCGCCAAACGGCUGUGAAAAGUCACAUGGCGUUGCGAUUUGAAACAAUGGCUGACCGCACAGUACGGCGAAGAAGCAGCAGUGGGUGGUUGGGUGCUGCAGGUGGUGCCGGUGGUGCUGGUGGUGCUGGUGGUGUUGCUGGUGGGCCACCGAAGAAGUCACCGCUGCCAGACAGACUGGGCCAAAAACCAUAACCACCGGCACUGGAACCCCGAAUAGAGCUCAUUGCAUAACGCCUGAUGAGCAAUAGUUGCGAUUACUUUCCAUUGUUGAACUGUGACUGUGUCACGCAAAAAACAUCAAAGUGCGGGAUACAUAUGUCUGUUUGGUAUGUUUAGGGAAUUGUGUACUUAGUAACCUUGCACUGAGUGAUCAGAGUUCGCUUGGCUGACUAAGAGAGUUGAGUUGAUUACGAGUGGACCGUGUAAUCAGGCACAACUAGUCAGUAUCUAAAUGCAUUCGUCAUGAGAACACUAAAUUGUGCCUUCAAAAGACCCGUCUGGAUUAUGUAAAUGGGCAUGCGACUACAAUCUACCGUUUUCGUGCCGAAUCAGUCACAGAUUUUCCUUCCAUUUUUUUUUUUUAAUCAUUCGGUUAUGACCUUAGCUACUGCCAAUCGGCGCAUCAAUCGGUGGGUCAUUGAAGUUAAUUUACUGUGAGCGAUAAAUUAACUUCCCUCAAUGGAAUGACAACUUGUUUGAAGCCGCCCUCGUCGGAGCCAACUUGUAAUUACAAUUAGCCGCAGCACUUAGGUUCUAGCUGUUCUGUGAAAAAUGUAUCUUUCGCUUUUGCAAUUGUAAUAAUCAAUAAAUAGCAGAACUCGAUGCAAUCAUCCACUUCUGAAACUCACCCGGAAACUCCUGUGGAAUGAGCAGCGUUUUCUUGCGCUGCGAUGCCUGAGUCUUGGCGUUGUGUCCGUGGUA
Drosophila sechellia is the source of this 975-nucleotide long non-coding RNA. RefSeq lists it as uncharacterized. The transcript is spliced from 2 exons. The record is from RefSeq and is a predicted model, not a curated record. Lineage: Eukaryota; Metazoa; Arthropoda; Insecta; Diptera; Drosophilidae.